This 492-nucleotide ribosomal RNA is filed under the name uncultured bacterium. RNAcentral describes it as "partial 16S ribosomal RNA". It matches the Rfam family "Bacterial small subunit ribosomal RNA", at positions 29 to 507 of the family's 1533-position model. The record is from RNAcentral.
AGUGAACGCUGGCGGUAGGCCUAACACAUGCAAGUCGAACGGCAGCACAGUAAGAGCUUGCUCUUACGGGUGGCGAGUGGCGGACGGAUGAGGAAUACAUCGGAAUCUACAUUUUCGUGUGGGAUAACGUAGUGAAACUUACGCUAAUACCGCAUACGACCUACGGGUGAAAGCAGGGGAUCUUCGCACCUUGCGGGAUUGAAUGAGCCGCUGUCGGAUUAGCUAGUUGGCGGGGUAAAGGCCCACCAAGGCGACGAUCUGUAGCUGGUCUGAGAGGAUGAGCAGCCACACUGGAACUGAGACACGGCCCAGACGCCUACGGGGGGCAGCAGUGGGGAAUAGGGGACAAGGGGCGCAAGCCUGAUCCAGCCAUACCGCGUGGGUGAAGAAGGCCUUCGGGUUGUAAAGCCCUUUUGUUGGGAAAGAAAAGCAUCAGGUUAAUACCCCGCUGUUCUGACGGUACCCAAAGAAUAAGCACCGGCUAACUUCGUG